AGCCAAAUGUACGCAUGGCGCGUGGGUUUUAACCACGUGGUCGUGGGUUCGAGUCCCAC
RNAcentral lists this small RNA (59 nucleotides) under Helianthus annuus (common sunflower). Its description in RNAcentral is "tRNA". It matches the Rfam family "tRNA", at positions 9 to 63 of the family's 71-position model. From Rfam's summary of the family: Transfer RNA (tRNA) molecules are approximately 80 nucleotides in length. Their secondary structure includes four short double-helical elements and three loops (D, anti-codon, and T loops). The record is from RNAcentral. Lineage: Eukaryota; Viridiplantae; Streptophyta; Magnoliopsida; Asterales; Asteraceae.